AUUGAACGCUGGCGGCAUGCCUUACACAUGCAAGUCGAACGGCAGCACGGGUGCUUGCACCUGGUGGCGAGUGGCGAACGGGUGAGUAAUACAUCGGCACAUGUCCUGUAGUGGGGGAUAGCGCGGCGAAAGCCGGGUUAAUACCGCAUAAGAUCUACGGAUGAAAGCGGGGGACCCUCGGGCGUCGCGCUAUCGGGUUGGCCGAUGGCUGAUUAGCUAGUUGGGGGGGUAAAGGCCUACCAAGGCGACGAUCAGUAGCUGGUCUGAGAGGACGACCAGCCACACUGGGACUGAGACACGGCCCAGACUCCUACGGGAGGCAGCAGUGGGGAAUUUUGGACAAUGGGCGAAAGCCUGAUCCAGCAAUGCCGCGUGUGUGAAGAAGGCCUUCGGGUUGUAAAGCACGUUUGUCCGGAAAGAAAUCCUUGGCCCUAAUACGGUCGGGGGAUGACGGUACCGGAAGAAUAAGCACCGGCUAACUACGUG
Molecule: ribosomal RNA, 486 nt
Filed under: uncultured bacterium
Lineage: Bacteria
Description: partial 16S ribosomal RNA
Rfam family: Bacterial small subunit ribosomal RNA
Source: RNAcentral